AUGUAUACCUUGCGCCGGGUGCAGGAUUCUAUCAGGGCGAACCGGAGUGUAGAAGACCCUAUGACGGUGGAGCAGCUCUUAAACCAGGGCAGGGAUAACAUAGACAUCAACCAAAGACAGUGCCGCUGCAACAGAGUGCUAAUCACAGCUGAUGCCCUGCUGUUGGCUGCUUUGUCCCCAUAAUGCACUCCAACCUCCAAACCCAUUCCCAGGGGAUCAUGGCGAAGGCUGCAACCCUCUCUCUUAGCAGCAGCAGCUGAACUCCACAUCCUAACACUGAUGGAGCACAUGAAACCUCAGCAGUCGCAACUUGCUGCAACGGUCAACAGCCUAGAUGGGAGGAUGGAGAACAACUUGCCCCAACCCGAUGAUGACCUAGACAGUGUCUAUAGGACGGCACAAAUGCCAGGAUCAAAACACAACAUGGUGACCAUAGGUAAGCUGUACCUGACCCAGAAGACUAUCGUUGAGGGGUAGGGGUCAAAGAGGAGCCUCUGAUGGGGCAGUAAUGGACUGCCUUAAAACGAUAGGAAACGAUGUCUAAGAGACCAUGGCAGAUGGAGCACUGAACCUCAACCUAACUUCACUUUCCACACGGAAGCUUAAUUUCCCGCAACCUUUGGAUGGAUAUGGGGGAAAGCAUUGUGGGAGGCAACUAGAUUCAAAGUAUAAUACAGAUCUAUGAGGUGGGAAUAGGGAAGAGGUGAGGGGUUGGUUGAUUUCGGACUGGGCAACUGUCCUGCGUCGAUUACAUAACUAUUGUUCUUGGUCACUAUAUACCCUCUCUUCACCAUAGUAUAUUUCGCUUUUCACGUUUCUUUUGUGAGCCGUACAGACAGCCUUGAUUUCUUGAUGUUUUUGCCAGUCUUUUAAUUGUGUAUUGUAUAUAUGAUUUGUCGUCAUGUAAGGUGGUGUAUAAAUGGAUUAAAGAUAUGCAUAUCUGAAUUGAA
Oncorhynchus kisutch (coho salmon) is the source of this 950-nucleotide long non-coding RNA. RefSeq lists it as uncharacterized. The transcript has 4 exons. The record is from RefSeq and is a predicted model, not a curated record. Lineage: Eukaryota; Metazoa; Chordata; Actinopteri; Salmoniformes; Salmonidae.